This 1506-nucleotide long non-coding RNA is filed under the name Homo sapiens (human). RNAcentral's name for it is "CDKN2B and CDKN2A antisense cis and trans regulatory RNA 1, transcript variant 4 (CDKN2B-AS1)". The stretch from base 379 to 522 matches the Rfam family "CDKN2B antisense RNA 1 convserved region 3". The record is from RNAcentral. Lineage: Eukaryota; Metazoa; Chordata; Mammalia; Primates; Hominidae.
AGCUACAUCCGUCACCUGACACGGCCCUACCAGGAACAGCCGCGCUCCCGCGGAUUCUGGUGCUGCUCGCGUCCCCGCUCCCCUAUUCCCCUUAUUUUAUUCCUGGCUCCCCUCGUCGAAAGUCUUCCAUUCUUCAAACUAGAUUAUUUAAAAAUGAAAAAGGAAGAAAGGAAAGCGAGGUCAUCUCAUUGCUCUAUCCGCCAAUCAGGAGGCUGAAUGUCAGUUUUGAACUAAAAGCCGCUCCGCUCCUCUUCUAGAUUUGGAAAACAAGCGAAAUUAAACUAAACCGCUGCACGCCUCUGACGCGACAUCUGGACACGGCGCGGCGCUGGCGCUGCCGGAGCUGUCGACCCGGCCUGGCGCCGGACUAGUGUCCCUUUUGAUGAGAAGAAUAAGCCUCAUUCUGAUUCAACAGCAGAGAUCAAAGAAAAGACUUCUGUUUUCUGGCCACCAGAUAUAUGUUAUCUGUGCUUAAAGAAUUGAAAAACACACAUCAAAGGAGAAUUUUCUUGGAAAGAGAGGGUUCAAGCAUCACUGUUAGGUGUGCUGGAAUCCUUUCCCGAGUCAGUACUGCUUUCUAGAAGAAAACCGGGGAGAUCUAUUUGGAAUGUAUCUAACUCCAAAGAAACCAUCAGAGGUAACAGGUGGAGAACUUCAGUAGAGGAAGUGGCAGGAAUUUGGGAAUGAGGAGCACAGUGAUUAAACUGGGGCCAUUCAUAUGAGAGUUUAAGAACUCAGACCAGUGACUUAGAUUGGCUUCUCUCACAUGGCAAGAAACAUUGCUGCUAGCACUUCCCGAGUUCUACGUUCUACAACAUCCACCACUGGAUCUUAACAUAGACGUAAGAUCAAAUGCAAUAGCAUGUCAAACAAUGUGUAACUCCAGUUAUACAAACAUUACUGUAUCUCAUUGGGGAUACGAAGCUCUACACACUUGAAGAUGGUGAAGGAAUAUAAAAAUCUAUGUCUCACAGUCCAGACUUGGAGUACAAGUAAUAAGAAGAAUAAAACUUAAUCCCUUAAGUAGAUUCACCAUAAGUUAGCUCAGAGCAAUUCCAGUGCAAGUAUGGUCUGUGAUCCAGUAGUAUCUUACAGACAGCAAGUUGAACAUUGUGGGAUGCAUGAGCUAUUGAGGCCUUUGCAGCUUUCUGCUACAUGGAGGCUAGGGCCAGAGUCAAGAUUUAUGCUUUGCAGCACACUGGUCAGCUGUUUUUGCAAAUCAGAUUAAAUGAUUUUUAAAUGAGGCUGAGAGCAUGGGAGAUACUAAUGUGUGUUUCCUUGUGAGCUACUGCAUAAGUUAGGAAAUUGAAAUACAGAAAGAUGAAAAGUGAUUUGCCCAAGCAUAUAGAUCAAAGCUGUGGCAGAACCAGGACUGGAACCUAUAUCUCUCUACUAAUGGUUUUUUUAAAAAAAUAACCUUGUUUCAAAAAUAUUAAAAAGUCACAAGAAAGGUAAACAUGUGGAUAAACAAAAUGAAGAAAAUAAAAAUUAUCCAGUAAUAACAUA